This 501-nucleotide ribosomal RNA is filed under the name uncultured bacterium. Its description in RNAcentral is "partial 16S ribosomal RNA". It matches the Rfam family "Bacterial small subunit ribosomal RNA", at positions 28 to 507 of the family's 1533-position model. The record is from RNAcentral.
GACGAACGCUGGCGGCGUGCUUAACACAUGCAAGUCGAACGGUGAAGCACCUUCCUUUUGGUGGGUGUGGAUGAGUGGCGAACGGGUGAGUAACACGUGAGUAACCUGCCCCCUUCUUCUGGAUAACCGCAUGAAAGUGUGUCUAAUACGGGAUAUUCUGUGCCUGCUGCAUGGUGGGUGUGGGAAAGAUGCGCUUUUGGGUGUUUUUGGUGGGGGAUGGGCUCGCGGCCUAUCAGCUUGUGGGUGGGGUGAUGGCCUACCAAGGCGGUGACGGGUAGCCGGACGGGGCGGGUGGUCGGUCACACUGGGACUGGGACACGGCCCAGGCUCCUACGGGAGGCAGCAGUGGGGAAUAUUGCACAGUGGGCGCAAGCCUGAUGCAGCGACGCCGCGUGAGGGAUGGAGGCGUUCGGGUUGUAAACCUCUUUCGCCAGUGAAGCAGGCCUGUUCCUUGUGGGUGGGUUGACGGUAGCUGGAUAAGAAGCGCCGGCUAACUACGUG